CACAUACUCCCUCCGUCUUAAAAAUUUUGUCUUAGAUUUGUCUAGAUGUGAAUGUAUCUAGUCACGUUUUAAUAUUUUGAUACAUUCAUUUCUAGACAAACCUAAGACAAGAAUUUUGGGACGGAGGGAGUAUACA
This 136-nucleotide microRNA precursor is filed under the name Hordeum vulgare. RNAcentral's name for it is "microRNA MIR1122". It matches the Rfam family "MIR1120/MIR1122 microRNA precursor family". The record is from RNAcentral. Lineage: Eukaryota; Viridiplantae; Streptophyta; Magnoliopsida; Poales; Poaceae.